RNAcentral lists this ribosomal RNA (257 nucleotides) under uncultured bacterium. Its description in RNAcentral is "partial 16S ribosomal RNA". It matches the Rfam family "Bacterial small subunit ribosomal RNA", at positions 524 to 777 of the family's 1533-position model. The record is from RNAcentral.
UACGAAGGGGGCUAGCGUUGUUCGGAAUCACUGGGCGUAAAGGGCGCGUAGGCGGCUUUAUAAGUCGGGGGUGAAAGCCUGUGGCUCAACCACAGAAUUGCCUUCGAUACUGUAGAGCUUGAGACCGGAAGAGGUUAGUGGAACUGCGAGUGUAGAGGUGAAAUUCGUAGAUAUUCGCAAGAACACCAGUGGCGAAGGCGGCUGACUGGUCCGGUUCUGGACGCUGAGGCGCGAAAAGCGUGGGGGAGCAAACAGGG